UUCUCUCUCACAUUCAGUGGUUUUGUCGUUAUUUCUCUCUCUUUUGAAGGAGAAUGCGGUGAAAAGAAAUGGCAGCGCUUAGAAGUCGCCAAACGUGUUUUAGGUUGUACCAACUACACUAGUAAGUGACUUCACCGAGUCGGCUUGAUAACUCUUUCAAUGUUGACCUCAAAUCAGGUAAGAAUACCCGCUGAACUUAA
Molecule: unclassified non-coding RNA, 200 nt
Filed under: soil metagenome
Description: partial contains internal transcribed spacer 2 and large subunit ribosomal RNA
Source: RNAcentral